AUUUAAUAGAAUUAAUUAUUAAUAAUACCUGCUCAAUGAAAUUAAAUAGCCGCAGCUCAUACUGUGCUAAGGUAGCAUAAUCAUUUGUCUUUUAAUUAAAGACUAGAAUGAAAGGUUUAACAUUUAAAUUAUUCUAAAAUACUCUUUAUUAAAUUUAUUUUAAAUGUAAAAAAACAUUUAUUUUUAGAAAGACGACAAGACCCUAUUGAACUUUACUGAAGUUUAACUGGGGCAGUUAAUUAAUUAAUAUUUUAAUUAUCAAUAUUACAAAAAUGACCCAAUCCAAUUGAUUAAAUGAUCAAGCUACCAUAGGGAUAACAGCGUAAUAUUUUUUUAUAGAUCGUAUUUAAAAAAAUGAUUACGACCUCGAUGUUGAAUUAAUUUUUCUAAUAAAUGCAUCCAUUUAAAAAGAAAGUCUGUUCGACUUUUAAAUAA
RNAcentral lists this ribosomal RNA (435 nucleotides) under Olios sp. 3 YT-2018. Its description in RNAcentral is "partial 16S ribosomal RNA". It matches the Rfam family "Bacterial large subunit ribosomal RNA", at positions 1828 to 2595 of the family's 2925-position model. The record is from RNAcentral. Lineage: Eukaryota; Metazoa; Arthropoda; Arachnida; Araneae; Sparassidae.